CAAUAGCGUAUAUUAAAGCUGUUGCGGUUAAAAAGCUCGUAGUUGGAUUUCUGUCAAGGACAACUGGUCCGCCCUCCGGGUGAGCACAUAGUUUGGUCUUGGCAUCUUGCUGGAAGCUGUUGCUGCACUUGGCUGUGUGGCGCAGCGUCCAGCACUUUCACUUUGAGGAAAUUGGAGUGUUUCAAGCAGGCACAUGCCUUUGGACACAGUAGCAUGGAAUAAUUAGAUUGGGCUUUUGCUCCAAUUUGUCGGUUUCUGGAGCUGAGGUGAGAAUUAAUGGGGAUUGUUGGGGGCAUCCGAAUUUAGCCGUCAGAGGUGAAAUUCUUGGAUCUGCUAAAGACGGACAACUGCGAAAGCGUUUGCCUAGGAUGUUUUCAUUGA
RNAcentral lists this ribosomal RNA (381 nucleotides) under uncultured eukaryote. Its description in RNAcentral is "partial 18S ribosomal RNA". It matches the Rfam family "Eukaryotic small subunit ribosomal RNA", at positions 592 to 976 of the family's 1831-position model. The record is from RNAcentral.